AGUGAACGCUGGCGGUAGGCCUAACACAUGCAAGUCGAACGGCAGCACAGUAAGAUCUUGCUCUUACGGGUGGCGAGUGGCGGACGGGUGAGGAAUACAUCGGAAUCUACUUUUUCGUGGGGGAUAACGUAGGGAAACUUACGCUAAUACCGCAUACGACCUACGGGUGAAAGCAGGGGAUCGUCGGACCUUUCGCGAUUGAAUGAGCCGAUGUCGGAUUAGCUAGUUGGCGGGUUAAAGGCCCACCAAGGCGACGAUCCGUAGCUGGUCUGAGAGGAUGAUCGGCCACACUGGAACUGAGACACGGUCCAGACUCCUACGGGAGGCAGCAGUGGGGAAUAGUGGACAAUGGGCGCAAGCCUGAUCCAGCCAUACCGCGUGGGUGAAGAAGGCCUUCGGGUUGUAAAGCCCUUUUGUUGGGAAAGAAAAGCAGCAGGUUAAUACCCCGCUGUUCUGACGGUACCCAAAGAAUAAGCACCGGCUAACUUCGUG
Molecule: ribosomal RNA, 492 nt
Filed under: uncultured bacterium
Lineage: Bacteria
Description: partial 16S ribosomal RNA
Rfam family: Bacterial small subunit ribosomal RNA
Source: RNAcentral